This 464-nucleotide ribosomal RNA is filed under the name uncultured Klebsiella sp. Its description in RNAcentral is "bacterial SSU rRNA". It matches the Rfam family "Bacterial small subunit ribosomal RNA", at positions 338 to 795 of the family's 1533-position model. Lineage: Bacteria; Pseudomonadati; Pseudomonadota; Gammaproteobacteria; Enterobacterales; Enterobacteriaceae. The record is from RNAcentral.
CCUACGGGGGGCUGCAGUGGGGAAUAUUGCACAAUGGGCGCAAGCCUGAUGCAGCCAUGCCGCGUGUGUGAAGAAGGCCUUCGGGUUGUAAAGCACUUUCAGCGGGGAGGAAGGCGGUGAGGUUAAUAACCUCAUCGAUUGACGUUACCCGCAGAAGAAGCACCGGCUAACUCCGUGCCAGCAGCCGCGGUAAUACGGAGGGUGCAAGCGUUAAUCGGAAUUACUGGGCGUAAAGCGCACGCAGGCGGUCUGUCAAGUCGGAUGUGAAAUCCCCGGGCUCAACCUGGGAACUGCAUUCGAACUGGCAGGCUAGAGUCUUGUAGAGGGGGGUAGAAUUCCAGGUGUAGCGGUGAAAUGCGUAGAGAUCUGGAGGAAUACCGAUGGCGAAGGCGGCCCCCUGGGCAAAGACUGACGCUCAGGUGCGAAAGCGUGGGGAGCAAACAGGAUUAGAUACCCGAGUAGUC